RNAcentral lists this microRNA precursor (80 nucleotides) under Branchiostoma floridae (Florida lancelet). RNAcentral's name for it is "Bfl-Mir-96-P2i_pre stem-loop". Lineage: Eukaryota; Metazoa; Chordata; Leptocardii; Amphioxiformes; Branchiostomatidae. The record is from RNAcentral.
CUUGGCACUUGAGGAAUUCUCUGUUUGGUUGCAUGUAAUGUGCAUCUUUAUGGUAUCACAGAAUUCCCCAGUACCAAGGA